Non-coding RNA from Paramuricea clavata, 343 nucleotides. The record is from the annotation of a GenBank genome assembly. NCBI's taxonomy places the organism in Eukaryota, Metazoa, Cnidaria, Anthozoa, Malacalcyonacea, Plexauridae.
UGGGAAGUGGCAGCACUGAUUUGCCUGCCGAGUUCCGUUUUAUUAAAAUUGUCAACAAACUGUUUUCAAAUUGAAAUUUCCAAACUACAGAAAGUGGCGUCGUUUACAAGGUAUUUUGUGCGUUCUAGUUUGUAUUCAACAGUUACUCUAAAUUUGAGCGUCGGUUCCCUGACGAGCAGGGGUAGUACGAAAUUUAUCACUGGUGGAAAUAUGGCAAUGAGCAGCACUCGUGCGAAACCAGUUGUGGGGGUGAUUUCAGAAUUCUUUGUGGGUUCCACAAGUAUAGAUACGUUGGCUAAACAUUGUCCUUCUGUAUCGAUUGUUGAGAUAGAUCAUACAGGUA